Molecule: ribosomal RNA, 468 nt
Filed under: uncultured bacterium
Lineage: Bacteria
Description: partial 16S ribosomal RNA
Rfam family: Bacterial small subunit ribosomal RNA
Source: RNAcentral
GACGAACGCUGGCGGCGUGCUUAAUACAUGCAAGUCGAACGGAAAGGCCCUGCUCUUGUGGGUUGCUCGUGUGGCGAACGGGUGAGUAACACGCGAGUAACCUGCCCUUGACUUUGGGAUAACUCUUGGAAACUGGGGCUAAUAUCGGAUAUGAUCUCCUGCUGCAUGGUGGGGGUUGGAAAGUUUCGGCGGUUGGGGAUGGACUCGCGGCUUAUCAGCUUGUUGGUGGGGUAGUGGCGUACCAAGGGUUUGACGGAUAGCCGGCCUGAGAGGGUGACCGGGGACCUUGGGACUACGAGACGGAGCAGAAUCCUACGGGCGGCAGCAGGGGAGAACAUUGCGGAAUGAGGGGAAGCCUGAUACAGCAACGCCGGGAGCGGGAUGAUGGCCUUUGAGUUAUAAACCGCUUUGGACGGAGACGAAGAGUGAGUGACGGUAAUGGGUAAGAAAGCAACGGCUAACUACGUG